AAGGAUCAUUAUUGAAUGAACUUAGAGUCGGUUGUCGCUGGCUGUCUUUGGCAGCAUGUGCACGCCUUCUCUAUUCAUCCACACACCCCUGUGCACUUGUGAGACUGGAGGCCGUAAAAAGCCUUCAGUCUGCUAAAUUCAUAUACAAACUCAUUUAAUUGAACUGAAUGUACUUGAUGUAACGCAUCAUUAAACUAAGUUUCAACAACGGAUCUCUUGGCUCUC
RNAcentral lists this unclassified non-coding RNA (225 nucleotides) under uncultured fungus. RNAcentral describes it as "partial contains 18S rRNA, ITS1, 5.8S rRNA, ITS2 and 28S rRNA". Lineage: Eukaryota; Fungi. The record is from RNAcentral.